CGGGUGAGUAACACGUAUCCAACCUGCCGUCUACUCUUGGCCAGCCUUCUGAAAGGAAGAUUAAUCCAGGAUGGCAUCAUGAGUUCACAUGUCCGCAUGAUUAAAGGUAUUUUCCGGUAGACGAUGGGGAUGCGCUCCAUUAGAUAGUAGGCGGGGUAACGGCCCACCUAGUCAACGAUGGAUAGGGGUUCUGAGAGGAAGGUCCCCCACAUUGGAACUGAGACACGGUCCAA
RNAcentral lists this ribosomal RNA (233 nucleotides) under uncultured bacterium. Its description in RNAcentral is "partial 16S ribosomal RNA". It matches the Rfam family "Bacterial small subunit ribosomal RNA", at positions 103 to 334 of the family's 1533-position model. The record is from RNAcentral.